Molecule: ribosomal RNA, 292 nt
Filed under: uncultured bacterium
Lineage: Bacteria
Description: partial 16S ribosomal RNA
Rfam family: Bacterial small subunit ribosomal RNA
Source: RNAcentral
GUGUCAGCCGCCGCGGUAAGACAGAGGGUGCGAACGUUGCUCGGAAUCACUGGGCGUAAAGCGCGUGUAGGCGGGCGAUCAAGUCAGGUGUGAAAUCCCUGGGCUCAACCCAGGAACUGCAUCUGAAACUGGUCACCUUGAGUGUUGGAGAGGGAAGCGGAAUUCCUGGUGUAGAGGUGAAAUUCGUAGAUAUCAGGAGGAACACCGGUGGCGAAGGCGGCUUCCUGGACAAUUACUGACGCUGAGACGCGAAAGCGUGGGGAGCAAACAGGAUUAGAUACCCCAGUAGUCC